RNAcentral lists this transfer RNA (72 nucleotides) under Ictidomys tridecemlineatus (thirteen-lined ground squirrel). RNAcentral describes it as "tRNA-Ala (AGC) (tRNA-Ala-AGC-13-1)". It matches the Rfam family "tRNA". Rfam says of the family: Transfer RNA (tRNA) molecules are approximately 80 nucleotides in length. Their secondary structure includes four short double-helical elements and three loops (D, anti-codon, and T loops). Lineage: Eukaryota; Metazoa; Chordata; Mammalia; Rodentia; Sciuridae. The record is from Rfam by way of RNAcentral.
GGAGGUGUAGCUGAGUGGUAAAGCACAUGCUUAGCAUGCAUGAGGCCCUGGGUUCAAUUACCAGCACCACCU